UACGGAGGGUGCAAGCGUUAUCCGGAUUCACUGGGUUUAAAGGGUGCGUAGGUGGGCAAGUAAGUCAGAGGUGAAAUCUCCGGGCUUAACCCGGAAACUGCCAUUGAUACUAUUUGUCUUGAAUACUGUGGAGGUCAGCGGAAUAUGUCAUGUAGCGGUGAAAUGCUUAGAUAUGACAUAGAACACCAAUUGCGAAGGCAGCUGGCUACACAAAUAUUGACACUGAGGCACGAAAGCGUGGGGAUCAAACAGG
This 253-nucleotide ribosomal RNA is filed under the name uncultured bacterium. RNAcentral's name for it is "partial 16S ribosomal RNA". It matches the Rfam family "Bacterial small subunit ribosomal RNA", at positions 524 to 776 of the family's 1533-position model. The record is from RNAcentral.